GGAGAUAUGGCUCAGUGGUUAAGAGCACUGGCUGCUCUUCCAGAGGUCCUGAGUUCAAUUCCCAGCAACCACA
Molecule: transfer RNA, 73 nt
Filed under: Neotoma lepida (desert woodrat)
Lineage: Eukaryota; Metazoa; Chordata; Mammalia; Rodentia; Cricetidae
Also listed under: 1 other name
Rfam family: tRNA
About the family: Transfer RNA (tRNA) molecules are approximately 80 nucleotides in length. Their secondary structure includes four short double-helical elements and three loops (D, anti-codon, and T loops). Further hydrogen bonds mediate the characteristic L-shaped molecular structure. tRNAs have two regions of fundamental functional importance: the anti-codon, which is responsible for specific mRNA codon recognition, and the 3' end, to which the tRNAs corresponding amino acid is attached (by aminoacyl-tRNA synthetases). tRNAs cope with the degeneracy of the genetic code in two manners: having more than one tRNA (with a specific anti-codon) for a particular amino acid; and 'wobble' base-pairing, i.e. permitting non-standard base-pairing at the 3rd anti-codon position.
Source: Rfam by way of RNAcentral